GGAGGAGGCGUAUCUAUUAACUUUGAGACUGUUAGGUUUUUUCGGCUAAAAAUUCCAAAUUCUUGACACAGUGCCGCCAUUAAUCUUUGAUCUCCGAUUAGGACUCGCUAAACCCUAGAAAAAGUGACUGUAUACCAAUGGCAGGCGGCGGCGAGAGCAGCAUCUUACGCUACUUCAAGAAAGGAGCCGAAGUCGAGGUAAACAGCGACGACGAUGGAUUUCGCGGGUCUUGGUUCGCGGCCACUGUGAUCCGGGCGCCGAAAGAUGAAUCCUCCAAGGUCCUGGUGGAGUACAAGACCUUGACGGAGGACGAGGCGGGCAAGCGGCCGUUGAGGGAGCCGCUGAGGCUGGUGCAGCUACGCCCUCCGCCGCCUCAUGAAAAUCGCCCCUCCUUCGAGUUCAGCGACGAAGUGGAUGCAUACUACAACGACGGGUGGUGGGAGGGGGUGAUCACCCAGAAAUUUGAGGGGAAGGAUAAAUAUACUGUCUUUUUCCGUGGGUCGAGGGAGGAGCUGUCAUUUACGGCCUCGCAGUUGAGGCCGCACCGCGAGUGGGUCACGGGGGAGAAGUGGGUCCCGCCUUUGCUCCCCUACUCCCACGCCAAUAAAACUCCGUUGUCAGCUGAAGCGGAAGACAGCACGGUGGCAACUGAACAUAACUGUAACCCAGGAAACCAUGCGGAAGCCAGUAGGGAUAAAGAUGGUUUUGAAAAUGGAUCCAUACAGUAUCAUAAGAAAACUCCGUCAUCAGCUGAAGCGAAAGACAACAUGGUGGCGACUAAACAUAACUUCAACUCAGGAGACCAUGCGGAAGCCAGUAGCGAUGAAGAUGGUUUUGAAGGUGCUUGGUUUCCUGUAACUGUUCUCGAGAAAACAGCAGCUGGAAAAUAUCUGAUUGAGUACAAAAAACUGAUGAACGAUGAUGGCACGGGCUUCUUGAGAGAAGAGAUCAAUGAACUCCAUUUAAGGCCAAGCCCUCCUGAUGUUGGAGUCGUUGACAGGUUUAAAGUUAAUGACCAAGUUGAUGCUUUUUACAAUGAUUGUUGGUGGGUUGGUAGGGUUACGAAAGUUCUUGUAAAAGAAAGGUACUCUGUGUACUUUGAGAACCCGCCUGAAGAAUUGAAGUUUGAGCAUUCUGACUUGAGGGUGCAUCAAGAAUGGAGAAAUGGCAAAUGGCAUUUCUUCUAAGGCAAAUCAUAAAAUUGGUCAUGGUUGUGAGGAUUAUCUUUUAGUACUACUCCUAGUUAAUGAUUGAAUUUGUGAGGUUGUCAAGUUGUAGCGGCCGCUCUUGUGCAAGUGUAAAUGCUUUAACCCUCUGCUUCUUCUCCACUUGUAUUUAACACCUUACUUUUAAUUCUGGACAUGGUAGCACCUUAAGGAAUUUGAUUUUGCCAUAUUCACUACCUGUAGUUUUGGUAAACUCUCAUUCACAUUUUGAACCAACUUCUAUAGUAAUCCAGCUAAUUACUACUGUAA
Molecule: RNA transcript, 1475 nt
Organism: Salvia splendens (bonfire salvia)
Lineage: Eukaryota; Viridiplantae; Streptophyta; Magnoliopsida; Lamiales; Lamiaceae
Gene name: protein AGENET DOMAIN (AGD)-CONTAINING P1
Exons: 5
Source: RefSeq, a predicted model, not a curated record